Molecule: long non-coding RNA, 456 nt
Filed under: Capsella grandiflora
Lineage: Eukaryota; Viridiplantae; Streptophyta; Magnoliopsida; Brassicales; Brassicaceae
Description: long non-coding RNA (CGRA_LNC000910)
Source: RNAcentral
GGGACACUCUGAGAAACAUGUCCGUGAUGGUGGACAAAAGUGGGAUGUUGAAGUUGAAAAGGCAAUGGAGAAUAAAUAUAAUGAUGAUGUGUCGUCUCCCGAUAAUAUGUUGUCCAUUAAUUAUAUGCGAGCUAGUCGUAAAUAAAUGAGGUGGGAGCACAUAGGGAUCAAAUUCAUCAUGCGGUUGACUUAUACUGUUGGCUCUUCCAAUUUUGUUUACACUUGGCCUGUAACAAAAAAAUUGGGAAGCGAUGAAACUUUGUCACCGAUGGACAAAAUUCCCAAUAAAAAGGAUAAAUGUCCAUCUCUGAAACAUAUCUCGUAGAUGUGUGAAUGUCUAUUGCUUGAGCGUUGAUGGAUGAAGUUUGAUGUACAUUACAGUCAAUGGCUUUGAGUCCAAGGAAGAGUCCAUUAUGCAAUCUGCUACUGGCUAGAGUUGAACAUAAAAGACAUGUU